ACUGAACGGGACAGUUAGGACUCGGAAAGACGGGGACAUUCGUCGUUGUCUCUUCGUCGUAUCUGCCUAUUCCCCCACUGA
RNAcentral lists this non-coding RNA (81 nucleotides) under Schistosoma japonicum. Lineage: Eukaryota; Metazoa; Platyhelminthes; Trematoda; Strigeidida; Schistosomatidae. The record is from RNAcentral.